Molecule: long non-coding RNA, 1151 nt
Filed under: Pseudonaja textilis
Lineage: Eukaryota; Metazoa; Chordata; Lepidosauria; Squamata; Elapidae
Description: lncRNA (ENSPTXG00000010262.1)
Source: RNAcentral
CAAUACGAGCUUUAAUCUCCAAUUUCACGUGACUGUACAAGGAAACAUUUACAGUGCUUUGGUAAUUCUCUAUUUACAUUUGCUUGCAGGGGCGGUUCAUUCCCCCUUAUCCUCAAUGCUGGCCAGAUGCGUUUUUGCACCAGAACAGUAAAAAAAAAAAAAAAAAAAAGGCAGAAAACUCUGCAAUUAUCAUUAUUUUUUACUUCUUACUGGGCCAAUUUGGGGGGAGGGUCGUUUUUCAGGUGGUUUAAAUAGCUUAUUAUGGCAGCUUUAAUUAUUAUUAUUAUUAUUUUUGGGGGGAAAAACUCCUUGCCUCUUGAGCAAGGGCCUUCUCCCCAUCUGGAGAUCAAUUCUCAAAGAGAAUUGCCGGUAAACCCAACAUCCAUAUUUUAUCUUCCCCGUUCCCAACACAGCAACAAACCCCCCACUAACCCUCUUCACCGACUUACUACAUGCUUCUUCUGCGCUUCCCACCGUGACUGCGUCUUUCGACGCCUUUCAAAAGACUUUGUCCUUUCUCUCGCAAACUGUCCCUUUUUUUUUUUUAUCCCUUCGUUUUAUCCUUCCUUCCUUCCUUCUCUUCCAGCAGUUCACAUUCAGACCGCUGGGGUUAUUUUUCUCCCCCCACUGCUAUUCGUCCCAACAAACUUCGCUUUUACUCCUUAUUUAAGAGAGCCGAUUCCCCGACCACCGGAGCUCCACUUUUUGACAACCGAGAGGCAAGUUUCUUUCAAGAGAUUCCCCGAAUCCCGGAUCCGUUGGGAAGGUGGGAUCAACCGGCCUGUUUUUUUCCCUCCUUCCCUGCGACUGCAGUGCCUCCCAGUUAAUCUAUGGCUUGGUUUCCACCGGAUUUCCAAGGGUCUGAAUUGGCUUUUCGGUCUGGAAUCACAAAUAGUAUACAUACCAGCACUCAUGCAUCAAGAAAAGGGAGUGGGGAGACGGGGGGAGAAAGGGUGGGAGGGUCCCGUAUCGAGAAAGAAACGACACAGGACUCAAAAGUACAAAAGGAAGGGUCUACAAAAGUAUUCAAAUAAUAUUUAAAAAAACAAAAACAAAAACAAGAUUAAAUACGUGGCGUAGCAAUUCCGCAGAAGGGAAAGCACACCACCGAGUGUAGAAUUCCAGUCGUUCAAAUGGAAACGUCUUGAACC